Molecule: ribosomal RNA, 244 nt
Filed under: uncultured bacterium
Lineage: Bacteria
Description: partial 16S ribosomal RNA
Rfam family: Bacterial small subunit ribosomal RNA
Source: RNAcentral
CGUACGAGAGUUUUUAACUCAAGUGGCGGACGGGUGAGUAACACGUAAGAAUUUACCUUUAGGAGGGGGAUAACAACUGGAAACGGUUGCUAAUACCCCAUAUGCUUUCGAGUGAAAUGGGUUUCCGCCUAAAGAGAAGCUUGCGGCUGAUUAGCUUGUUGGUGAGGUAAUGGCUUACCAAGGCGACGAUCAGUAUCUGGUUUGAGAGGAUGAUCAGACACACUGGAACUGAGACACGGUCCAG